AAUCAACGCUGGCGGCGUGCCUCAGACAUGCAAGUCGAACGAUUAAAGCUCUCUUCGGAGAGUGUAUAGAGUGGCGCACGGGUGAGUAACACGUAAGUAAUCUACCCUCGAGUGGGGAAUAACGUCCGGAAACGGACGCUAAUACCGCAUAAUGCAGCGGCACCGCAAGGUGACAGUUGUUAAAGAUUUUAUCGCUUGAGGAGGAGCUUGCGGCAGAUUAGCAGUUGGUAAGGUAAUGGCUUACCAAGGCUACGAUCUGUAACCGGUCUAAGAGGACGGUCGGUCACACUGACACUGAAUAACGGGUCAGACUCCUACGGGAGGCAGCAGUCGGGAAUUUUGGGCAAUGGGCGAAAGCCUGACCCAGCAACGCCGCGUGAAGGAUGAAGUA
This 391-nucleotide ribosomal RNA is filed under the name uncultured bacterium. RNAcentral's name for it is "bacterial SSU rRNA". It matches the Rfam family "Bacterial small subunit ribosomal RNA", at positions 32 to 415 of the family's 1533-position model. The record is from RNAcentral.